ACGGCCGCAUCACGUUGAAACACCGGUUCCCGUACGGUCACCGAAGUUAAGCAACAUCGAGUCUGGUCAGUAUCUUGAUGGGUGACCGGUUGGGAAUGCCACGUUUUGUCA
Acanthosepion pharaonis is the source of this 111-nucleotide non-coding RNA. Lineage: Eukaryota; Metazoa; Mollusca; Cephalopoda; Sepiida; Sepiidae. The record is from the annotation of a GenBank genome assembly.